UGGGGAAUAUUGCACAAUGGAGGAAACUCUGAUGCAGCGACGCCGCGUGAGCGAUGAAGGCUUUCGAGUCGUAAAGCUCUGUCCUAGGGGACGAUAAUGACGGUACCCUAGGAGGAAGCCCCGGCUAACUACGUGCCAGCAGCCGCGGUAAUACGUAGGGGGCGAGCGUUGUCCGGAAUUAUUGGGCGUAAAGGGUUCGCAGGCGGCCUUUUAAGUCAGAUGUGAAAGCCCACGGCUUAACCGUGGUAAGCAUUUGAAACUGGAAGGCUUGAGUUAAGGAGAGGAAAGUGGAAUUCCUAGUGUAGCGGUGAAAUGCGUAGAUAUUAGGAGGAGUACCAGUGGCGAAGGCGACUUUCUGGACUUAUACUGACGCUGAGGAACGAAAGCGUGGGGAGCAAACA
This 401-nucleotide ribosomal RNA is filed under the name uncultured bacterium. RNAcentral describes it as "bacterial SSU rRNA". It matches the Rfam family "Bacterial small subunit ribosomal RNA", at positions 355 to 774 of the family's 1533-position model. The record is from RNAcentral.